ACAUCUAAGUACCCAGAGGAAGAGAAAGAAAAUUCGAUUCCCUAAGUAGCGGCGAGCGAAAGGGGAAGAGCCCAAACUAGGAACUUGUUCCUGGGGUUGCGGAUAGAUCAUAACGCUUUGAUUUCUUUAGUUGAAGAGAACUGGAAAGUUCCGUCGUAGAAGGUAAUAACCCUGUAGGAGAAAAGGAAAGAAAAGUAGAUCUACUCCAGAGUACCACGAGACACGUGAAACCUUGUGGGAAGCUGGGAGGACCAUCUCCCAAGGCUAAAUACUACCUAGUGACCGAUAGUGAAGCAGUACCGUGAGGGAAAGGUGAAAAGAACCCCGGAAGGGGAGUGAAAUAGAAUCUGAAACCGUGUGCCUACAAUCGGUCGGAGCACAUUAAAGUGUGACGGCGUACUUUUUGUAGAACGGGCCAGCGAGUUACGAUAUAUAGCAAGGUUAAGCACUUAUGGUGUGGAGCCGAAGGGAAACCGAGUCUGAAUAGGGCAACUAGUUGUAUAUUGUAGACCCGAAACCGGGUGACCUAUCCAUGGCCAGGAUGAAGCGGAAGUAAAAUUCCGUGGAGGUCCGAACCACGUUGGUGUUGAAAAACCAUGGGAUGAGCUGUGGAUAGCGGAGAAAUUCCAAUCGAACUCGGAGAUAGCUGGUUCUCCUCGAAAUAGCUUUAGGGCUAGCGUCGGGUAAUUGAGUAGUGGAGGUAGAGCACUGAAUGGGCUAGGGGCUGACAACAGUUACUGAACCCUAUCAAACUCCGAAUGCCAUAUACUUGUACCCCGGCAGUCAGACUACGAAUGAUAAGAUCCGUGGUCAAAAGG
Molecule: ribosomal RNA, 818 nt
Filed under: Clostridium botulinum C
Lineage: Bacteria; Bacillati; Bacillota; Clostridia; Eubacteriales; Clostridiaceae
Description: partial 23S ribosomal RNA
Rfam family: Bacterial large subunit ribosomal RNA
Source: RNAcentral